UAAAUAAUAAAUAAAUAUUAUAGGACAUUAUUACACACAUUGACUAAGUCCCACAGUAAGCUCAAUAAGGCUUGUGUUGAGGGUACUUAGACAACGAUAAUUAUAUAUAAUAUAUAAAUAUUUAUAAAUACUUAAAUACAUAUAAAACACCCAUGAUUCAGGAACAAAUAUCCAUGCUCAUCACACGAAUAAAUCUAAGUAAUGGAAUACGGAAUACACAUACGUAACGGACCAUAGCGUAGGAAAGUUCUCGGAAACAUAAAUACAAACAUAGUCCUUCAGUAUGACUAGCAUACUUAGGUUUCUUGAACUUCUAGUCAGAUGAUGGUUUGAAUUUGUAGCUAAAUGCAAUUCUGGUGAACUUUUAUGAUCAGAUGUGUACCAACAGGUACAAUACUACAUAGGUACCUACCCAUACCUGCACAGUUGCACACUCAACCAAGUGGAUCUAUAAAAUUCAGUAUGUAAAUGGUUUCUAAUUAAAAUUACGUUCAGCUGUUUUAUAAUUGUGCCUUGUUUUCGUUUAGGGAAGUAAUUGAUUUCAGUGGGGUAUAACAAUUGUUGACACUAGUUUUGUAAUCAACUUAUUGAUUUUUCUAAUAAAUUCUUCUAUUGCUGAGUGAUCGCGAAUUUCGAUUGCAUUUUCCUUGAUAACAAAGCAAUUAAACUCGUCAAAGAGUUUUUCAUAAAGCAUGGCUAGAGAAAGUAUUUACCUUGGUACUGGUCCUGAUAUGCACGAUUGGCAGUUUAUGAGCCUAUUUAUUUUUCCUUUUGAAUAUCUGGUUUAAUCGGUUAUUGAAUUGACAUUCAGUAGGUCUAUUUAACAAUGAAGGUGUGUUUCUUACUUACUAGCCUACUUAUUUAUUUAGCAGUCGGGAUUCCAGUAACAGAUAUUAACCAUAAUACACGUCGGUUACUCGUGGACCUCAGUAAGCUCCUUCCGACGGCGCGGGCUUGCUCUAGUUGGUUCCCUCAAAACAGCAUCUACUGUACAACAAGUCAUCCUUAUUCAUAAGACUUUAUCUCAUACAUAUAAUAUCUUGUAAAUAAUAAUCAGCAUACAUGUGUACCGGCAAAAGGUACCAGACUUGCCUAAAAUUGAGAAUGAUGAAUACCUAGUUUCCUCCAAAAUUUAAACUCAUUUGUCGGGAAAUUAUAAAGUGUCCUGUUUACGUUCUGUCUUAUUCACCUGGAAGUGCUUUUAUUAAACUACCUAUUCAAUUUAUCAUCAUCAUCAUCAUUAUAUUAGCCUUUUAUCGCCCACUGCUGAGCAUAGGCCUCUCUUCCGUCUCUUCGAGUAUGCCACUUAUCCCGGUCCUGAGCCAAUCUCAUCCAGAAGUGACCCGCAAUCUUUCGAAUGUCGUCCACCCAACGAACCAACGAAAACAAUGUAUAUUCAAUUAGUUGGCAUUUCAAUUUUUAAUAAAAAUGUAUAUCAAUAGAGGUGACGUACAUGAUAUCAAAUUAUUGGGGUCGGUUGCAAAAAUAAUAAGAACUUAGGAAAAAUCACAGCUUAUGAAAUAUUAAUAUAGUGCCUCACCGGACCAAGUAGAUACUUGCAAGAGGACAGUGGACGACCGCUUCUCCAUGCAACCGUAGUCCCCGUUUUCUUCUCUGGAUAUUGAUAUAUAAAGAUAAAUAUUUUACACAAAUUAUGUUUGUUAAGCGAAAAAAAAAACGAAAAAAUAAAAACAUACGAAAGGCCA
This is a long non-coding RNA of Cydia pomonella (codling moth), 1706 nucleotides long. RefSeq lists it as uncharacterized. The transcript is spliced from 2 exons. NCBI's taxonomy places the organism in Eukaryota, Metazoa, Arthropoda, Insecta, Lepidoptera, Tortricidae. The record is from RefSeq and is a predicted model, not a curated record.